This is a non-coding RNA of Cinara cedri, 504 nucleotides long. Lineage: Eukaryota; Metazoa; Arthropoda; Insecta; Hemiptera; Aphididae. The record is from the annotation of a GenBank genome assembly.
CCAAUUAAAUAACAGGUGAUUGGUAUUCUAGCUUAACAAAAACUAGAUACACAAAAUUAAGUGCAGUACCUGCCUAGAACAUUUUUUCUGGCGUUAUUUAUUACGCUUUUCAUGACAAAAUAACGAAUAAUAAUAAUUUAAUAAAAAAUAGUUAUUUUGUCAUGACUCAUUGCUCACUCCGUAGGAGUAGGCACCGUACCAAUGUGCACCGAUACAUAAAAAUAAUAUUAUUAAUAAACAUAAAUAAUAUUUUGAUAAUAAUUUGAGUUUCAGCCAUUUUCGGUUAGGCAGUGGAGUUACAAACUUUAAAUAAUUCUAGAAGCAAAUCAGUGUUUUACAACCAUCGUCCACCUUGAUCUAUCAAUUUGUACAAUACCUACAGCCGAUAUAAUAGCUAUAUAGUAUAUAUAUGUUUAGCAAUACGUGUUACUCCCUCCUAAUCAUAUAAAUUUUAGAAAAAACCACCCACCUGCCCUACACAAUAUAAUUCAGAAACAGCUGCUU